GACGAACGCUGGCGGCGUGCUUAACACAUGCAAGUCGAGCGGUAAGGCCCUUUCGGGGGUACACGAGCGGCGAACGGGUGAGUAACACGUGGGUGACCUGCCCUCAGCUCUGGGAUAAGCCUGGGAAACCGGGUCUAAUACCGGAUAUGACUCCAUGACGCAUGUUGUGGGGUGGAAAGCCUUGUGCGGCUGAGGAUGGGCCCGCGGCCUAUCAGCUUGUUGGUGGGGUGANGGCCUACCAAGGCGACGACGGGUAGCCGGCCUGAGAGGGCGACCGGCCACACUGGGACUGAGACACGGCCCAGACUCCUACGGGAGGCAGCAGUGGGGAAUCCUGCGCAAUGGGCGAAAGCCUGACGCAGCGACGCCGCGUGAGGGAUGACGGCCU
This 388-nucleotide ribosomal RNA is filed under the name uncultured bacterium. Its description in RNAcentral is "bacterial SSU rRNA". It matches the Rfam family "Bacterial small subunit ribosomal RNA", at positions 28 to 417 of the family's 1533-position model. The record is from RNAcentral.